UUUUUCAGGCCAGGUUGCCCUCACUGAUCUAGUCUGGUCUUGGAAGCUAGAUGGAGUUGGCUUGGUCCGUCCUUGGAGNGGAGACCACCUGGGAAUACAAAGUCCUGUAGGCC
This 113-nucleotide ribosomal RNA is filed under the name Salvator merianae (Argentine black and white tegu). The record is from RNAcentral. Lineage: Eukaryota; Metazoa; Chordata; Lepidosauria; Squamata; Teiidae.